Vanrija pseudolonga is the source of this 77-nucleotide non-coding RNA. Lineage: Eukaryota; Fungi; Basidiomycota; Tremellomycetes; Trichosporonales; Trichosporonaceae. The record is from the annotation of a RefSeq genome assembly.
GCCCCCGUAGCCUAGUGGUUUACGGCGUCGACCUUCUAAGUCGAAGAUCGCGGGUUCGACUCCCGCCGGGGGUUCUA